GACAGAGGGUGCAAACGUUGCUCGGAAUCACUGGGCGUAAAGGGCGUGUAGGCGGGACGGUAAGUCGGGCGUGAAAUCCCUAGGCUCAACCUAGGAACUGCACUCGAAACUACCAUUCUUGAGUGUCGGAGAGGAAAGCGGAAUUCCUGGUGUAGAGGUGAAAUUCGUAGAUAUCAGGAGGAACACCAGUGGCGAAGGCGGCUUUCUGGACGAUGAACUGACGUGAGACGCGAAAGCGUGGGUAGCAAACAGG
RNAcentral lists this ribosomal RNA (253 nucleotides) under uncultured bacterium. RNAcentral describes it as "partial 16S ribosomal RNA". It matches the Rfam family "Bacterial small subunit ribosomal RNA", at positions 524 to 776 of the family's 1533-position model. The record is from RNAcentral.